RNAcentral lists this ribosomal RNA (506 nucleotides) under uncultured bacterium. RNAcentral describes it as "partial 16S ribosomal RNA". It matches the Rfam family "Bacterial small subunit ribosomal RNA", at positions 28 to 523 of the family's 1533-position model. The record is from RNAcentral.
GAUGAACGCUAGCGGCAGGCCUAACACAUGCAAGUCGAGGGGCAGCACAGGAAAGUAGUAAUACUUUUGGGUGGCGACCGGCGGACGGGUGCGUAACGCGUAUACAACCUGCCUUCUACUGGGGGAUAAUUCGGAGAAAUCUGGUCUAAUACCCCAUAACAACCGAUGAGGCCUCUCAUUCGUUUAAAAGCUCCGGCGGUAGAAGAUGGGUAGGCGUGACAUUAGAUAGUUGGUGGGGUAACGGCUCACCAAGUCGACGAUGUCUAGGGGGACUGAGAGGUUAACCCCCCACACUGGUACUGAGACACGGACCAGACUCCUACGGGAGGCAGCAGUGAGGAAUAUUGGUCAAUGGACGCAAGUCUGAACCAGCCAUGCCGCGUGCAGGAAGACGGCUCUAUGAGUUGUAAACUGCUUUUGCACGAGGGUAAACCCAGGGACGUGUCCUUGGUUGAAAGUACCGUGCGAAUAAGGAUCGGCUAACUCCGUGCCAGCCGCCGCGGUAA